CGGCGUGCUUAACACAUGCAAGUCGAACGGAAAGGCCCUGCUUUUGUGGGGUGCUCGAGUGGCGAACGGGUGAGUAACACGUGAGUAACCUGCCCUUGACUUUGGGAUAACUUCAGGAAACUGGGGCUAAUACCGGAUAGGAGCUCCUGCUGCAUGGUGGGGGUUGGAAAGUUUCGGCGGUUGGGGAUGGACUCGCGGCUUAUCAGCUUGUUGGUGGGGUAGUGGCUUACCAAGGCUUUGACGGGUAGCCGGCCUGAGAGGGUGACCGGCCACAUUGGGACUGAGAUACGGCCCAGACUCCUACGGGAGGCAGCAGUGGGGAAUAUUGCACAAUGGGCGGAAGCCUGAUGCAGCAACGCCGCGUGCGGGAUGACGGCCUUCGGGUUGUAAACCGCUUUCGCCUGUGACGAAGCGUGAGUGACGGUAAUGGGUAAAGAAGCACCGGCUAACUACGUGCCAGCAGCCGCGGUGAUACGUAGGGUGCGAGCGUUGUCCGGAUUUAUUGGGCGUAAAGGGCUCGUAGGUGGUUGAUCGCGUCGGAAGUGUAAUCUUGGGGCUUAACCCUGAGCGUGCUUUCGAUACGGGUUGACUUGAGGAAGGUAGGGGAGAAUGGAAUUCCUGGUGGAGCGGUGGAAUGCGCAGAUAUCAGGAGGAACACCAGUGGCGAAGGCGGUUCUCUGGGCCUUUCCUGACGCUGAGGAGCGAAAGCGUGGGGAGCGAACAGGCUUAGAUACCCUGGUAGUCCACGCUGUAAACGGUGGGUACUAGGUGUGGGGUCCAUUCCACGGGUUCCGUGCCGUAGCUAACGCUUUAAGUACCCCGCCUGGGGAGUACGGCCGCAAGGCUAAAACUCAAAGGAAUUGACGGGGCCCCGCACAAGCGGCGGAGCAUGCGGAUUAAUUCGAUGCAACGCGUAGAACCUUACCUGGGUUUGACAUGGAUCGGGAGUGCUCAGAGAUGGGUGUGCCUCUUUUGGGGUCGGUUCACAGGUGGUGCAUGGCUGUCGUCAGCUCGUGUCGUGAGAUGUUGGGUUAAGUCCCGCAACGAGCGCAACCCUUGUUCACUGUUGCCAGCACGUUAUGGUGGGGACUCAGUGGAGACCGCCGGGGUCAACUCGGAGGAAGGUGGGGAUGACGUCAAGUCAUCAUGCCCCUUAUGUCCAGGGCUUCACGCAUGCUACAAUGGCUGGUACAGAGAGUGGCGAGCCUGUGAGGGUGAGCGAAUCUCGGAAAGCCGGUCUCAGUUCGGAUUGGGGUCUGCAACUCGACCUCAUGAAGUCGGAGUCGCUAGUAAUCGCAGAUCAGCAACGCUGCGGUGAAUACGUUCCCGGGGCUUGUACACACCGCCCGUCAAGUCAUGAAAGUUGGUAACACCCGAAGCCGGUGGCCUAACCGUUGUGGGGGAGCCGUCGAAGGUGGGACUGGUGAUUAGGACUAAGUAA
This 1441-nucleotide ribosomal RNA is filed under the name uncultured organism. RNAcentral's name for it is "partial small subunit ribosomal RNA". It matches the Rfam family "Bacterial small subunit ribosomal RNA". The record is from RNAcentral.